CACGUAGGGGACGAGCGUUGUCCGGAUUCAUUGGGCGUAAAGCGCGCGUAGGCGGCUCGGAAAGUCGGGCGUGAAAUGCCGGGGCUCAACCCCGGGACUGCGUCCGAUACUUCCGAGCUGGAGUACGGUAGGGGCAGAGGGAAUUUCCGGUGGAGCGGUGAAAUGCGUAGAGAUCGGAAAGAACACCAACGGCGAAAGCACUCUGCUGGGCCGACACUGACACUGAGAGACGAAAGCUAGGGGAGCGAAUGGG
This 253-nucleotide ribosomal RNA is filed under the name uncultured bacterium. Its description in RNAcentral is "partial 16S ribosomal RNA". It matches the Rfam family "Bacterial small subunit ribosomal RNA", at positions 524 to 776 of the family's 1533-position model. The record is from RNAcentral.